GUCCGCAAGGACAAUUUGACAAUUUGACCUCAAAUCAGGUAGGACUACCCGCUGAACUUAAGCAUAUCAAUAAGCGG
RNAcentral lists this ribosomal RNA (77 nucleotides) under Pleurotus eryngii. RNAcentral's name for it is "partial 28S ribosomal RNA". Lineage: Eukaryota; Fungi; Basidiomycota; Agaricomycetes; Agaricales; Pleurotaceae. The record is from RNAcentral. RNAcentral also lists the same sequence under 1 other name.